This 413-nucleotide ribosomal RNA is filed under the name Bos taurus (domestic cattle). Its description in RNAcentral is "similar to 16S ribosomal RNA". It matches the Rfam family "Bacterial large subunit ribosomal RNA", at positions 2335 to 2856 of the family's 2925-position model. The record is from RNAcentral. Lineage: Eukaryota; Metazoa; Chordata; Mammalia; Artiodactyla; Bovidae.
UGACCUCGGAGAAUAAAAAAUCCUCCGAGCGAUUUUAAAGACUAGACCCACAAGUCAAAUCACUCUAUCGCUCAUUGAUCCAAAACUUGAUCAACGGAACAAGUUACCCUAGGGAUAACAGCGCAAUCGCUAUUCAAGAGUCCAUAUCGACAAUAGGGUUUACGACCUCGAUGUUGGAUCAGGACAUUCCCUGAUGGUGCAACCGCUAUCAAAGGUUCGUUUGUUCAACGAUUAAAGUCCUACGUGAUCUGAGUUCAGACCGGAGUAAUCCAGGUCGGUUUCUAUCUAUUACGUAUUUCUCCCAGUACGAAAGGACAAGAGAAAUAAGGCCAACUUUAAAUCAAGCGCCUUAAGACAACCAAUGAUAACAUCUCAACUGACAACACAAACCCUGCCCUAGAACAGGGCUUAGU